AAAAAUGCAUGAGUGAAUAUGAACCAGAAGGGAUGAAGUUUUGUUUGUGCUUAGCUGGUUUAUAAAUUACUUACUAUUUUUUUUGAUUUCACCGUCAGAUGCCAUUGUGUAUAUGAUGUUACCAUUUGUACCUUUUUCAUUCAUCAGUUUUCAGUAGGUACUGCAUUCUUCACUGGCUGCAUUAAUACAACUAACACCAUUUAAAUAGGCUUGCAUUAAUGGGAAAUUAACUAUUUUAACAUCCAAAAAUCCCAAAAUAAAUAUGUCAUUGUGUAAUUGUCCCCUAUGUGUUUAUUGUUAAUCAGUGAGACAUUCUUUAUGUGUCUCCUCAGUAUCAACUCCAGAGAUGUGCACCGUGGCGGACCAUGGCCUCUCAGUGGCAGACCUGGCCCAUUCUGUCCAUUGCCCUUUUCCUGCUUGCUCUGGUGCCAUAUGUGGUCCACCGCAUGAUGACUGCUUUUGACGAUCCCCCUCCACACUCACUCUUCAAGUCAGCUGCAAUUGGCUUUGGCCUCCUUAGUGAAGCCCUGCUGAUCAGGUGUUUGUGCAGUUACUUCAGCCACCGACUCCAGCGAGCAAAGCAAGACUCCUUCAGGCUCUUGCCUCGUCAAUCUGAAGAUCAUGAAGCUCAUGCCAGUCUGAAGUAGUGCCCCACGCCGGGGGUCAAAGGUCAGGAUUCACAGCAUUGGCAGGACAGAGGAACCGCUGAGAGGAGAGGAACAGACCUGCCACUGUUAAAUAUGACCACAGGGAAAGAGACCUGUGGUGCAGCAAGCGUACAAAUCCCACUGACUUAUUUAAAUGUCUAGAAAGGUCCUGCUGCAGACAUUGGCAGAGUUUCAGCAGACGAAACCCAGUGUAAGCACCAAAAAAAAAAGAGAAAGAAAAAAAAUCUGAAAUGGAUGAUGCCACUCUGGGUUGAAAAUGGAUGGACGCUCUAUUGCCCUUGGUUGGAUUUUGAUGGUGUGAUCAAAACAGUGUUUAAUCGGUACUGUAGAGUUGGUAUAAGGCUUUAUCAAUUUACUACAUCAAUAUAUAUCAAAGCACUUUGGCCAUGUAAUAGUUUUAUAUAAUUCAUUGCACAUGUCACUUUUUAUGGCCUGACUUUUUCAAAGGAUUUUCAGAACUUCUGAGACCAUUUGUCAAGGACUUUCGGAAACAGUGCUGAUACAAUCCUAAUACAGAACUUUUUUUUCACCAAGUAAAUGUUUGUGCUUUUUUUAAGUAAUACAUUUCUUGUUUUAUCCUUUGGAGUGCUUCUUAAUAUUUCCACUUUGUUUUGGUGUAAAAAUAUUUUUUUUAAAAUCAUAUAGUAAAUGACAUUUUCAGGAAAAACAGUUCACCAAAAAAUGUAAAUGUAUUGUUUACUUACCCUCUGGUCAUUUUAAGGUCCUAGGAUAGAUGUUUGUAUCAGUUUGUUAGUUCUAAAGAUAUCUAUAAACUGGUGUGCUCCAAAACAAUGACAACAUUUGCAUUAUAUAUAUAUAUAUAUAUAUAUAUUUAAACACCCACAGCUUGCCACUUUCACCUAUAUGAAUCAAUGAUUUUUUUUCACAUCACUUUAUUUUCAGUUUCUCAUUAAAUCUUGAUCAAAUGCUCUCUAGAAUCUGACAUGUCCCAUGUUCUUCUUUGCUUUUCAUUUGAUGCACUUGACCUUAACUACUGAGGUAGAGAUGUAAUAAAAACCAAACGCUAUUGGUUGUUUUUAAAAAGUUGAGGAGCUACUUCAGUCUCACCCGCCUCAGGUUUCAGUUGAUAUUACAUCAGAUUUUAAAUGAAAAUGCACAUGUUGAAGCACUUCACAAGACCUUUAAAGUCCUCACAAGCUGGCAGUUGUUGAAACUUUUGCUUUAGUAUUCAAACGGAACAUUGAAUAGGGAGUGGGGCUUUAUUUUUGCGCAUCAUUCCCUCAUAGCAAACUAACUUUGAUUGAAGAUUUUAAAACAUGUAUUUAUUUGAUUUAUUUUUCAGUAAAUUAUCUUACUUAAUUGUUCAUCUAAUGAGUUGCAACGUACCUUAGCAAAAUAAACAUGUUGGACUCACACAGAC
Non-coding RNA from Danio rerio (zebrafish), 2049 nucleotides. NCBI's taxonomy places the organism in Eukaryota, Metazoa, Chordata, Actinopteri, Cypriniformes, Danionidae. The record is from RefSeq and is a predicted model, not a curated record.